RNAcentral lists this unclassified non-coding RNA (2510 nucleotides) under Hevea brasiliensis (rubber tree). Lineage: Eukaryota; Viridiplantae; Streptophyta; Magnoliopsida; Malpighiales; Euphorbiaceae. The record is from RNAcentral.
UAAGCUUUGAUUUAUUUCCCAUCCAAAACAAUAAAUGCAUUUCAAUGAAAUUCAAACACUAUUACACAAUAUUAUUUAGUUUUAUUCUCAUGCGAUAUUCAUUAUCAAGAUCAUUGCAAUUUGGAGUUUAUCUUUCCCUCAGCUUCUUGAGGGAAGACAGCACCUCAUUCAUGUUGGGUCGACAGUCAGGAUUUGGGUUGGUACAGAUCAAGGAAAGCUUUAAGAGGUCUGCCAAUGUUUCUUGCUCUUUGGAAGCAUUCUUGGCAAGCAUGGGGUCUAAAACUUGAAGAAGUCCAUUGAUGCCAUUGCCAAGGGCUUUCUCAAUUACUUGACUCAGACUGAUUGGCAGUCCAUCCUCUUCUGUCAUCUGGGUUGGCCUUCGUUUUGUUAGGAACUCCAUCACUAUAAUCCCAAAGCUGAACACAUCUACUUUUGUUGUUACCUUCCUCAUGUAUGCAAAUUCUGGCGCCAAGUAGCCGAUGGUGCCUUGGAAAGCCGAUGAUGAAGAGGAAAGGCAACUUCCAUCCUGAAGAUGAACGCCCAGUAUGCGAGCUGUUCCAAAGUCGCUAACAUGAGCAACCCAAUUACUGUCCAACAGAAUGUUAGAGGGUUUCAAGUCACAGUGAACAAUGGGGAAGUCAUAUCCAGAAUGCAAGUAAUCCAGCCCACUUGCAAUUGAAAUACAGACAUCGAUUCUCUCGGUUAAUGUCCACCUUGAUUGACCAACGCGAGGGUCAUGGAUGACGCUGUCCAAGCUCCCGUUGUGCAUGCAUUCAAGAACUAAAGCCUUUAGUUUAGUGCUCUCCCAGGCAUAACCAAGUACCUUCACCAAAUUCUUGUGUCUCAAAUGGCUCAAUGUUUUGACUUCUCUGUAGAAGCUCUUGUCAGAUUCUGCAGGGAACUGCUGCAAAUUCAGUUUCUUUACAACUACAAUCUGUCCAUCUUCCAAUUGACCCUUGUAAACGGUGCUCAAACUGCUGGCACCAAUUAGGUUAUCUUCACUGAAGAAACUAGUAGCAUUUUCUAAUUCCAUCGGCUCAAACCUUAUGAGUUUCAAUGCUGAAGUGAAUUCUGGUUCUGCAUUUUCAAUAAGUUCUGCUUUAGACUUUCUAGCACAUUGGAGCAGCAAUGAAAUCACUACCACCAAAAUGAGAAGUGUGAAAACCAGUCCAAGUGAAAUCAGAAUCCAUAAUGUUUUCUUGGACAAGGAAUGUGAACUCUUGCUGCAUGGCCGUAGAGACUUGGAUCCACAGAGGCCAGGGUUACCAAUCAAACUGGAAGCAUUUAUGUUUUUGAAUAUACCAGUCUCAGGAACUUGAUCUUCAAGUUGAUUAAAAGACAAAUUAAGCUGCUUCAAGGAGGAAAGAUUGGCAAAGCUAUCAGGUACUUUGCCCUUCAGCUGGUUCUGAGAAAGGUCUAGGGUUGUUAGAUGCUUCAGAUCUGCCAAACUUUCAGGGAUUUGACCAUCUAACUCAUUCCUCGAAAGGUUCAUGCUCAUAAGCACACUCAGCUGACUGAAAGGUGUAGCUGGAAUUAGACCAGAGAGUUUGUUCCCUGACAGAUCAAGAGAGAACAAGUUUCUGCAGCCUCCAAGUGUUUCAGGAAUGACUCCUGAAAGAUUGUUGUUCGAGAGAUCAAUGGCUUGUACGGCUUCCAACAUUCCUAGCUCAACUGGAAUGUUUCCCCGCAAUAAAUUGUAUGACAAGUUGAGAAAAAUCUGCAUACUUUUCAUGCUGGAAACCAUAGAUCCAGGAAUUGAUCCUGUCAGAUGGUUGUGAGAUAUAUCAAGAGACAUUAGUCGAUUAAGAGCCCCCAUACUUGUAGGAAUGGACCCAUUUAGCAUGUUGCUGUGCAGGUCCAAGUAUGAAAGCAUUUCAAGUUUUGAGACAGAAUCUGGAAUUGGACCUGUGAGCCUGUUGAGCCCCAGCAUGAGAACAGUUAAAUGUUUCAGUUCAGAAAUAUUCUUCGGUAUUGCACCUUCUAGAGCAUUGCUUUGGAAGGCAAGCCCUUGGAUGGAAGAAAGCUUGGAUAAUGUUGGUGGAAUGAGGCCUGAAAACCUAUUUCCAGAAAGUGAUAGAGUGAUCAGCUGACUCAAAUUGCCAAUUUCUGGUGGAAUUGGACCUGUGAACGAAUUGAACCCAGCUUUGAAAGUUCGGAGAUUAUAGAGCUUGCCAAUUCCUGGCUUAAGCAAUCCACUGAAAUUGUUCUCUCCCAAACUCAAGGAUUCAAGGUUGGAGCAAUUGUAAAGGUCAUCAGGUACUUCCCCAGACAUUUGAUUUGGUCCAAGAGAUAGCUUCGUUAAAUUAUGCAACUGACCCAAACCCCAGGGAAGUUUCCCAGUAAUUCUAUUAAAAGAUAAAUCUAUGUGCAUAAGUUGGGUGCAAUUGGAGAUACUAGAAGGAAUGGUUCCCUCAAGAAGGUUGUAAUUUAGGCUAAGGUUCCUCAAAUUGUAAAGCAUUCCUAUACUUGAUGGAAGUGCCCCUGUGAGGAAAUUCAUGCCCAUAGACAGG